This 357-nucleotide unclassified non-coding RNA is filed under the name Hevea brasiliensis (rubber tree). The record is from RNAcentral. Lineage: Eukaryota; Viridiplantae; Streptophyta; Magnoliopsida; Malpighiales; Euphorbiaceae.
AUUUUUAUUGACAAACCUGUAAUAGUGCCACUACAAGGCAGUAACAUACGCGGCAACCCAAACACCAAAUUUACAAUAAUAAACACAAACUCUGCACUCCCCCUCCCCCCAAACAGUUCAUUUGACAGUAUCUCUAUUUUUACUAUGAUCAAAGAUUUGAGGCAGCACAAUAUUACACCAGGUUGAGACUUCAAACAACUUGCAUCACAAAGAUCUCUCAACUGCUGAACAGAGUUUAGGAUCCUUUCCUAUAUCUCAAAAUCUUCAAAUCAGGCUGCCAGUACUAUAAUAACAAUAAGGAGCACGAUUCCAAAAAUCACCAGGAGUAAGCAUGUCAGAGAUGAAUUUGAUCUUUGG